RNAcentral lists this transfer RNA (84 nucleotides) under Nanobdellota archaeon. RNAcentral describes it as "tRNA-Leu". It matches the Rfam family "tRNA". Rfam says of the family: Transfer RNA (tRNA) molecules are approximately 80 nucleotides in length. The record is from RNAcentral. Lineage: Archaea; Nanobdellati; Nanobdellota.
GCGGGGGUAGCGAAGUGGUCAAACGUGCAAGCUUCAGGAGCUUGUCCCUUAGUGGGUUCGGGAGUUCGAAUCUCCUCCCCCGCA